GGCAAAGAUGACGAGUGCUUUAUAUUCUGACACCUCUUGUAUGAGAGGAGUUCAAAAAAAACUCUUCUUUGAGCACAGAUAGCAACUCUGAGCC
Molecule: non-coding RNA, 94 nt
Organism: Morus notabilis
Lineage: Eukaryota; Viridiplantae; Streptophyta; Magnoliopsida; Rosales; Moraceae
Source: Rfam